GUGCAGAGAGAAUCCCCCCUUGACUGCGUGGCGUUUUCUUUGUAGUAAAGGGCGGCCUGUAAGUUUCGCUCGGAAAUCCCCACAAGCACGUCAUCCUUUGAAAAUACAAUUUGCAGCCUCCAAGGGAAAGUGUGAGCUGGAGUGGGGAGAAAAGGAAGAGGAAGCUGUUGUGCAAAAGGAGCUGCAGCACUGGAUAUGACCCAUGGCCCUGCAAAUAUACAGACAACCUAGAAAAUUACUGAAAGAAGCACCCACCAAACAUCCCAGAACAGAAAGAAGUACAAGAAUUUCUACCCAGAGUGUGGUGCAGCCCCUUCAGUCUAUUCAUAAGACCAGUUUUUUAAACAUGAAAGUUGAAUGUUACUGGAUAGAUCAUGAAUAAAUCGUAAGCUGAAUGGUCAAUGCACUGGAAAGGACAAUAUAAAGAAUUCAAGCAUCUUUAGAACCUUAGCUACAGCUUUUUGCAGCAUCUUGCUCUUCAAAAACAUGGCCUAUUUUCUCUGACAAAAUGUGUUAGAUGUAAUUGCUUGCCACAGCAAGCAUCCUAAAAAUAUGACAAAGGAAAGUGUGUAUGAUGCAGAAAAUUCUGCUUCACACAAAUCAAGAUCUAGGUACAAUCAAGAUAAAAGCAUAAGGUGGAAACUUUGGCAAACAGGUGCACAGACUAUUUGGAAUUGAGUCCAACACGUAUUUGCUUUACACAACCAUUUGAGAUAAAAGUUAUCAUGUAAAUCCUCAACUUGAAAAAAGCAAGGUUUCUCUAUUCUGCAUGCAAAAUUCUGCAUGAUCUUUCCCAUUAAUCAUGCUAUGCCGCUAUAUACAUAUACAACUUAAGAACAGAAUGGUACUCUACACUGUAUUUCAGCAUGACCAGUAGACAAAAGAGGGAUACUUUCUGCUCCACAUAAAAUUUACAACCACAGAAAUGGCAUAAGCCCUCAAAAAAGUUACUUCAGUUCCUUGAAUAAG
Molecule: non-coding RNA, 969 nt
Organism: Podarcis muralis (Common wall lizard)
Lineage: Eukaryota; Metazoa; Chordata; Lepidosauria; Squamata; Lacertidae
Source: RefSeq, a predicted model, not a curated record